Molecule: ribosomal RNA, 253 nt
Filed under: uncultured bacterium
Lineage: Bacteria
Description: partial 16S ribosomal RNA
Rfam family: Bacterial small subunit ribosomal RNA
Source: RNAcentral
GACAGAGGGUGCGAACGUUGUUCGGAAUUAUUGGGCGUAAAGAGCUCGUAGGCGGUUUGUUGCGUCGGCUGUGAAAUCCCGAGGCUCAACCUCGGGUCUGCAGUCGAUACGAGCAAACUAGAGUGUUGCAGGGGAGACUGGAAUUCCUGGUGUAGCGGUGAAAUGCGCAGAUAUCAGGAGGAACACCGGUGGCGAAGGCGGGUCUCUGGACAGUUCCUGACGCUGAGGCACGAAGGUCAGGGGAGCAAACGGG